GACGAACGCUGGCGGCGUGCCUAAUACAUGCAAGUCGAACGCUUCUUUCCUCCCGAGUGCUUGCACUCAAUUGGAAAGAGGAGUGGCGGACGGGUGAGUAACACGUGGGUAACCUACCCAUCAGAGGGGGAUAACACUUGGAAACAGGUGCUAAUACCGCAUAACAGUUUAUGCCGCAUGGCAUAAGAGUGAAAGGCGCUUUCGGGUGUCGCUGAUGGAUGGACCCGCGGUGCAUUAGCUAGUUGGUGAGGUAACGGCUCACCAAGGCCACGAUGCAUAGCCGACAUGAGAGGGUGAUCGGCCACACUGGGACUGAGACACGGCCCAGACUCCUACGGGAGGCAGCAGUAGGGAAUCUUCGGCAAUGGACGAAAGUCUGACCGAGCAACGCCGCGUGAGUGAAGAAGGUUUUCGGAUCGUAAAACUCUGUUGUUAGAGAAGAACAAGGACGUUAGUAACUGAACGUCCCCUGACGGUAUCUAACCAGAAAGCCACGGCUAACUACGUG
This 508-nucleotide ribosomal RNA is filed under the name uncultured bacterium. RNAcentral describes it as "partial 16S ribosomal RNA". It matches the Rfam family "Bacterial small subunit ribosomal RNA", at positions 28 to 507 of the family's 1533-position model. The record is from RNAcentral.